This is a non-coding RNA of Babesia bovis T2Bo, 71 nucleotides long. The record is from the annotation of a RefSeq genome assembly. Lineage: Eukaryota; Apicomplexa; Aconoidasida; Piroplasmida; Babesiidae.
AGCUAUAUAAUUUAAAUAUAAAAUAUAUAAUUGCAGAUUAUAUUAUCUCAGCUAAAAUCUGAGUGUAGCUU